Molecule: ribosomal RNA, 447 nt
Filed under: uncultured bacterium
Lineage: Bacteria
Description: partial 16S ribosomal RNA
Rfam family: Bacterial small subunit ribosomal RNA
Source: RNAcentral
AACGAACGCUGGCGGCAGGCCUAACACAUGCAAGUCGAACGCCCCGCAAGGGGAGUGGCAGACGGGUGAGUAACGCGUGGGAACCUUCCCAGUGGUACGGAAUAACUGACCGAAAGGUUGGCUAAUACCGUAUACGCCCGAAAGGGGAAAGAUUUAUCGCCAUUGGAUGGGCCCGCGUCGGAUUAGCUAGUUGGUGAGGUAAUGGCUCACCAAGGCGACGAUCCGUAGCUGGUCUGAGAGGAUGAUUAGCCACACUGGGACUGAGACACGGCCCAGACUCCUACGGGAGGCAGCAGUGGGGGAUAUUGGACAAUGGGCGCAAGCCUGAUCCAGCCAUGCCGCGUGAGUGAUGAAGGUCUUCGGAUUGUAAAACUCUUUCGCCGGGGAAGAUAAUGACGGUACCCGGAGAAGAAGCUCCGGCUAACUUCGUGCCAGCCGCCGCCGUAA